GUAGGUUGCGAGCGUUGUCCGGAUUUACUGGGCGUAAAGCGCGCGCAGGCGGUUCCGAAAGUCGAAUGUGAAAGCUCCCGGCCCAACUGGGAGAGGCCGUUCGAAACUUCGGGACUCGAAGGCGGGAGAGGCAAAUGGAAUUUCCGGUGUAGCGGUAAAAUGCGUAGAUACCGGAAGGAACACCAGUGGCGAAAGCGAUUUGCUGGCCCGCCCUUGACGCUCAGGCGCGAAAGCUAGGGGAGCGACCGGGAUUAGAUACCCCGUUAGUCCUAGCCGUAAACAAUGGGCACUAGGUGUUGUCGGUAUCGACCCCGGCAGUGCCGAAGCUAACGCAUUAAGUGCCCCGCCUGGGGAGUACGACCGCAAGGUUA
This 371-nucleotide ribosomal RNA is filed under the name uncultured bacterium. Its description in RNAcentral is "bacterial SSU rRNA". It matches the Rfam family "Bacterial small subunit ribosomal RNA", at positions 527 to 896 of the family's 1533-position model. The record is from RNAcentral.